AACGCACAUUGCGCCCGCCAGUAUUCUGGCGGGCAUGCCUGUUCGAGCGUCAUUUCAACCCUCGGACCCCUCUCGUAGGGGGCCGGCGUUGGGGCUCGGGAGGACGCUACAGUCCCCCCGUCCCCUAAAUACAGUGGCGGUCCCGCCGCAGCCUCCUCUGCGUAGUAGCACACCUCGCAGCCCCGGAGCGCGGCGCGGCCACGCCGUAAAACCCCCAACUUAUACAAGGUUGACCUCGAAUCAGGUAGGAAUACCCGCUGAACUUAA
This 267-nucleotide unclassified non-coding RNA is filed under the name uncultured fungus. RNAcentral's name for it is "partial contains 5.8S ribosomal RNA, internal transcribed spacer 2, and large subunit ribosomal RNA". The stretch from base 1 to 52 matches the Rfam family "5.8S ribosomal RNA", at positions 103 to 154 of the family's 154-position model. The record is from RNAcentral. Lineage: Eukaryota; Fungi.